GGGAGUUGUAGCACACUGGCGACACUGUCUGCAAGUGCAAGACCACACAACUAACCAAUGUCAACAUUGCUAGUGGUGCUACUGUGCUAGUGCUAGUCUAUAUAAGUAUAUAUGGUUGUUUAAUGUUUACAACUAAUUCAAAAUGAGCUCUGAGUCCUCUGACGAAGUCGAGGAAGUUUCGUCAAGCCAGGGCCAGGCUAAGCGAAAGAAAACUCAAGACAGUAAGUCAUCCUAAAAAAAACCAAGACAGUUUAAUCCAGAUUGGCUAAAUGAGAAUAAGCAUCCAAAAUUUGCUAAGUGGCUAAUACUGAAACUCAAUCCACAGACUGGAGAGAAUCAAGUAUUUUGUAGAGCUUGUGCGUUGUUUUAUCAAAAUCAUAAGGGAGAUUUAGAAAAACAUGUUGACCGUACCCAACACAAACAGAAUAUGGAAAAGUUCCCAGAGUUGCUUAAGCAACACGAUCGUUUAGCCAAUUUUGCAUCUCCACUUAGGGAUCGUAUCACUAAUCUUGAAGUACGAAUUUUGGCUCAUAUAUGUGAAAAUAGUCAAUCAGUGUGUUCUGCUCAAGGAAUGCUUGAAGUGAUGCCGACAGAAGGAAAUGAUCCCAUAUUCAAGAAAGCCACAUUAGGAUAUACAAAAGCAGGCAACUUGAUAAGAGAAGGAUUUGGAAAAUUUUGUACACAACAAACAGCAAGUAAACUGAAGAACAAAUAUUUUUCCAUUAUAUUCGAUGAAACCACGGACGUGUCUAUCAAAACUAAAAUGGUUAUUGUAGUUUGCCAGUGGUGCCUUGAAAAAGGAAAGCUGCAAUUCGAUGUUCUCGAUCUAGUGGAUGUUUCUGAUGGGACUGCAGAUGGAUUGACUAACUGUAUUCUUUCAAGGCUGGAAAAACACGGAAUUUCUUCCGCACGAUUUGUUGGGUUUUCAGCUGAUACAUGCAAUGUGAAUUUUGGAAGAAUCAAAUCAGUCUCAACAUUGCUGAGAGACCGUUUCCCCAAGCUCGCAACAGUCAAAUGUACUUGUCACAACUUUCAUUUAUGUGCAAAGCACUCCUAUUAGGCCUUGCCUCCAGAACUUAUUGAACUUCUACAUGCUAUUCCUGCCCACUUCAGCAAUAGUCGUGACAGGCGAGAUAAAUUAAAGGAGUGUCUUAGAUUUCUCAAACUUGAUGAGUUGGAAAUUCUCAAGCCCGGAGAAACGCGUUGGCUCACUUUUAAAAACCGCGCUGUCCGCAUUCUCCAACAAUAUGACGCUUUAAUUUUACAUUUCAUUUCUGAGGUUGCUGAAAACCCCACAGAAAAAUACAACAGAAUUUUGUUUCUUUUGCAAGAUCCUUUUACUAAAAUUCUUCUUGAGUUUUUCAUACAAGGACUUUCUCUUUUUACUGAACUGAAUGAAUUAUUCCAGUCCAACAAGCCUCUCAUUCAUGUGAUAAAACCUGCGAUUGAGUCUCUACUCGUUUCAUUGGCUAAGAGCUAUAUGAACACGGAAUACGUUGAAGAACACAUGUCUUGUCUGUCCAGUCUUGAUCAUUUAGACUGCCAUGAGUAUGUCCCUUUGGAACAAAUCUA
This 1572-nucleotide long non-coding RNA is filed under the name Daphnia magna. RNAcentral's name for it is "uncharacterized LOC123474183". Lineage: Eukaryota; Metazoa; Arthropoda; Branchiopoda; Diplostraca; Daphniidae. The record is from RNAcentral.